RNAcentral lists this ribosomal RNA (253 nucleotides) under uncultured prokaryote. RNAcentral's name for it is "partial 16S ribosomal RNA". It matches the Rfam family "Bacterial small subunit ribosomal RNA", at positions 524 to 776 of the family's 1533-position model. The record is from RNAcentral.
UACGAAGGGGGCUAGCGUUGUUCGGAAUUACUGGGCGUAAAGCGCUCGUAGGCGGAUCGAUCAGUCAGGGGUGAAAUCCCAGGGCUCAACCCUGGAACUGCCUUUGAUACUGUCGAUCUAGAGUCCGGAAGAGGUGAGUGGAAUUGCGAGUGUAGAGGUGAAAUUCGUAGAUAUUCGCAGGAACACCAGUGGCGAAGGCGGCUCACUGGUCCGGUACUGACGCUGAGGAGCGAAAGCGUGGGGAGCAAACAGG